RNAcentral lists this long non-coding RNA (456 nucleotides) under Gallus gallus (chicken). RNAcentral's name for it is "long non-coding RNA NONGGAT003700". Lineage: Eukaryota; Metazoa; Chordata; Aves; Galliformes; Phasianidae. The record is from RNAcentral.
GUUGCUGCUGCUGAGGCGGCUCCGCCACCGCCACCACCAGGCUCUUGUCCUCCGUUGACAUCCUAGUCAGCAGGACGAGAGAGACACAUGGAUGAUGGUGAUGAAGAUGAGGAUGGUGAUGGGGAUCCCGAUGCUCCUCCUGCUCCCGCGGCUCCUCUCCUCCUCACCUCCGCCUCCUCCACCUCCGCCUCGCAUCGCUGGCCUCAGCCGCCGCCGACCAGCGCAGAUCAGAAAAACAUUCUGCCAAAAUUCUGCGAGUCAAAAGCAGCUUCAGAGCUGUCAAAACUGCCGGAGAUGAUUAGAAACUUGCUUUGAUGAGAUCUCUGCUAACAUGCAUUGAUUUUCUGAACCCAUUUCUUGCAUGGUCCAAAGGCAGCAUAGCUUUGUAAUGGCUGUGGGAUGACACUUUGAACUGUGCACUCUGUGAGAAAGGAUUCUUCACUGACUGUAGUGUCU